CCUUCGAUAGCUCAGUUGGUAGAGCGGUGGACUGUAGUUGGUUACCUGAAGCAGACAUCCAUAGGUCACUGGUUCGAAUCCGGUUCGAAGGA
Halocaridina rubra (Hawaiian volcano shrimp) is the source of this 92-nucleotide non-coding RNA. The record is from the annotation of a GenBank genome assembly. NCBI's taxonomy places the organism in Eukaryota, Metazoa, Arthropoda, Malacostraca, Decapoda, Atyidae.